Molecule: ribosomal RNA, 467 nt
Filed under: uncultured bacterium
Lineage: Bacteria
Description: partial 16S ribosomal RNA
Rfam family: Bacterial small subunit ribosomal RNA
Source: RNAcentral
GACGAACGCUGGCGGCGUGCUUAACACAUGCAAGUCGAACGGAAAGGCCCUGCUUUUGUGGGGUGCUCGAGUGGCGAACGGGUGAGUAACACGUGAGUAACCUGCCCUUGACUUUGGGAUAACUUCAGGAAACUGGGGCUAAUACCGGAUAGGAGCUCCUGCUGCAUGGUGGGGGUUGGAAAGUUUCGGCGGUUGGGGAUGGACUCGCGGCUUAUCAGCUUGUUGGUGGGGUAGUGGCUUACCAAGGCUUUGACGGGUAGCCGGCCUGAGGGGGUGACCGGCCACAUUGGGACUGAGAUACGGCCCAGACUCCUACGGGAGGCAGCAGUGGGGAAUAUUGCACAAUGGGCGGAAGCCUGAUGCAGCAACGCCGCGUGCGGGAUGACGGCCUUCGGGUUGUAAACCGCUUUCGCCUGUGACGAAGCGUGAGUGACGGUAAUGGGGAAAGAAGCACCGGCUAACUACGU